Molecule: transfer RNA, 74 nt
Filed under: Sporolithon durum
Lineage: Eukaryota; Rhodophyta; Florideophyceae; Sporolithales; Sporolithaceae
Description: tRNA-Lys
Rfam family: tRNA
About the family: Transfer RNA (tRNA) molecules are approximately 80 nucleotides in length. Their secondary structure includes four short double-helical elements and three loops (D, anti-codon, and T loops).
Source: RNAcentral
GAGUGUAUAGCUUAAUUGGAUAAAGCACUAAACUUUUAAUUUAUGUAUCUUAGGUUCGAAUCCUAAUACACUCA